GAGUUUGAUCGUGGCUCAGAUUGAACGCUGGCGGCAGGCCUAACACAUGCAAGUCGAGCGGAUGAGAGGAGCUUGCUCCUUGAUUCAGCGGCGGACGGGUGAGUAAUGCCUAGGAAUCUGCCUGAUAGUGGGGGACAACGUUUCGAAAGGAACGCUAAUACCGCAUACGUCCUACGGGAGAAAGCAGGGGACCUUCGGGCCUUGCGCUAUCAGAUGAGCCUAGGUCGGAUUAGCUAGUAGGUGGGGUAAUGGCUCACCUAGGCGACGAUCCGUAACUGGUCUGAGAGGAUGAUCAGUCACACUGGAACUGAGACACGGUCCAGACUCCUACGGGAGGCAGCAGUGGGGAAUAUUGGACAAUGGGGGCAACCCUGAUCCAGCGACGCCGCGUGUGUGAAGAAGGCCUGCGGGUUGUAAAGCACUUUUAGUGGGGAUGAAAAGCACAUCACUAACACUGGUGUGUCUUGACCUAACCCAAAG
RNAcentral lists this ribosomal RNA (480 nucleotides) under uncultured Gammaproteobacteria bacterium. Its description in RNAcentral is "bacterial SSU rRNA". It matches the Rfam family "Bacterial small subunit ribosomal RNA", at positions 9 to 484 of the family's 1533-position model. The record is from RNAcentral. Lineage: Bacteria; Pseudomonadati; Pseudomonadota; Gammaproteobacteria.